UAGGGAUUUAAUAACAAAAAAAGGGUGAAAAAAUAAACUAGUAUUUUGCCACAACAAUUAACGACGAAAAAAUGGACUCUAAACUUUUAUAUAUAUUGUCAUAAAAAUUAGAUUAUAUAGUGACAAAACUAUCUGUCAAUGUAAUAUUUUUAAAAUAUAUAUAUAUAUUUAUUGGAUAGUGACGGAUGUUAUAAUCUAUCACUAAUUCUGUUGCAAAAUAUUUUUAAGUGAUAUAUUUUUAGGGCAUAAAAUAUUCACACUAACAUUUUCAGAUGAAGUUCUGAAACUCCUAGUCUCCAUCUCGGAAAAUCCAUUUAGAUUUAAAACUCCAUCUUGAAGCUGGUAACACUCAAAGCUCUGAAACAAGACUCCAUCUCGAAGCUCUAAAGCAAGUCUCCAUCUAGAAAGGUAACUUUUAUUGCUAUGACUACUUACUACCGACUCAUCCUUUCUGUAAAAGGAAUCUCUCUUUUUUCUUUUCUGCUUAAUAUCUUUCUUUUUUUCAUAAAAAUGUGUUGAUAUAUAUUUUUUGUUUAUACUUUUGUUUGGAUUCAUUUUUUGGUGAAAAAUAAUGUUAGUAAAGUAUUGAAUCUAGUGUUAAAAGUUGUUUCUAGUUGAUUAUUGUUAUUCUUAUUUAGGAUCUUUCACGUGUGAUCCAUAACUUCAUUUUUUUAAAAUUAAUACUCUAAAGUGGUUUGUUAUGUUUUUUUUCACUUGAAUGUACAAUGAGUGAUCUUGCUGGUAGUUGUCACAAGCCUCAAGUACCCCCUAGAAGCUAGGGAUAACCCUCGGAUCGUCACCGGGCGUACUUGACCCUGUGGGGUCCUGUACAAGCCCUUUAACUAUCGUUCAUUACAUAAAACAUGAAAAGUAGUGAGGCAUUUAAAACUUUUCACGAAUAAUUUAACAAAAGAAAACUUUCAUAAAUACUUAGAGAAUCUCAUCAUCACAAACCAAACUUAAGACACGACAUAAUAUACUAGGGAUACGGCCCUUUACAUUGAAAGAGAAAUACAUUAUAAGUCUUUAAUUAAGAAACUAUGAACAUGACUAUGCCAUUGAUUAUACGACAUACUUUAUCUUAAGAGCAUCUUUCUCAAGCUUCACCUCCAAACCUUCAAAAGCUUCCAACCUAUACUUAUAAAGUAUAUAACAUUAUGGGGUUAGUGCAAAACAAUGUACUUAGUAUGGCAUAUGUAAAAUCAUGUAAAAAGUGACAUUUUAGUAAAAUAACCUUUAAUGCCAAAAAAAUUAUAACAUUCAUGAAUCUAUAAGCAAAACAUCAUAAGAAACAUCAUUUAACACUUAGAUAAGAGUUUCCAUAAAUUUUAAACCAAAAGAACACUUUACUGUAAACUUUCCAACUUUACAGUAAGCUCAUUUAACAAUUACAGUGAACUAAAAGACUCCUACAAUGCUGAACAUCCAAGGUAUUGCCAAUGAGGAAGUGAUUAGUAGGAGUUUCCCUACCUAAAGUUAUCCAAAGACUAUCCAAGGUAAGACAUGAAGAAAACAUCUAAACACUUCCUUGAAUACACAAAUACACACCCAUGCAGUCCUCAAGACUAACCCUUUCAGCUUACUCACCUCGGGAGAACAAGUCACCACUCAAUCACAACAUAUUAGAAGAACACCCAAUAAAACACCAAAGACUUCCCUUUUGGAAUUCUUACUUAGUGGAAUGAGUAGAUAGCGUCCCGUACCACCACCUACCUGAUGUAGUACACUCUUUUAGAAGGUUUGGCACCAAGUCUUCCCUUUUGGAAGGUCCUACUUAGUGCAAUAGAUAGAUAGCGUCACAUGCCACCACCUACCCUAAGUAGCACGUUCUUUUAGAAGACAUAGUUCAUUCAAUUCACAUAAGGCUCACCAACAGUGUCCUUUCGGAAUUCCUCCCUAGUGCAACGGAUAAAUAGCGUCCCAUUCCACUACCUACCCUAAGUAGCACACUCUUUUAUAAGACUUAGUACUUUCAUAACAUUUGUGGGGGUUUGCUUAACCGACAAAGACCAUGAGAGCUAGACAUGGAACUCCUGAUAUUAACCCCUAUUGGAUUGAGGGAUCCUCACUUGCCUAAAGUAAGGUCAUACUUCUUGGCUUUUACAUGAAUUUUCCAAUAGCUACACCUAUGCGGGCACAUAAUUAAGGGAUAAGGAUAUUGCUACUAAGUAACUCAUUAUCUACUAACAACGGGUACUCAUCUCAAGAGGUACAUUAGAACACAACAUCUCAACUCACGAAGUGUAACCACCCCUUCUUCAUAUCCUCUCGGUGCUAGGCAUAACUCCGCACGAAUUCUCAACAUUAUAUAGUAUAGGUUAAGGAUAACUAGUGAAUACCACAUGUUAACUCACGAAGGGAAUAUAUCCUCCAACCUAUCUUAGAAAUCUCAUUCGGAAUAGUAAGGUUGCUACUAAACACUUUAUCUCAACUAACGAAAAGUGUUCACCCCAAGACUCCCCUUUUUACUCAUCUUAGUUUCAUACAUUCAUUUAAGUGUGUGUGUGCGUGUGUGUACAUGUGAGCACACCUUGCAUAUAAGCAUCAUUUCAUUCUUAUUAUUUCUAUACAUGCUUUAGACCUUUAUUCAUCAAAUCACACACUUUACAUACUUCACAUAAUCAUAUAAGUCAUUUAGGCAUACUCUCUAGCCUACUUCAGAUUUUCGCCUUACAAAACACAUUAAACAAGAAUAAUAUCAUUUACAUCCUUAUUUCACAUAAAAAGCCUUCAUGUACUCAUUCACAAUGAAUAAUUAAAUUCACAUUCAUAUAAGCCAAGUAAACACCGCCACCAAGAAGGUGGACCAUACCACUUAAGAGAAAUUUAUAAUAAGGACUAUACAAUAUAAGCAACUUACCAUUAAAUCAAGCCAGUAUCAUAUAUAACCAAUUUCUCAAUAUUUUGUCAUUAUAAGGCCUUAAUGGAAGUAGCUAAACCAAUAUAACUACACAAGAAAACUAAAGCUCAUUCUCUACACAAACAUGCUCACUUAACCCAUUUCUUAAGUUAAAAGUUUGAAAUAUGCAUAAACAUGAGUUCAUUAUAGUUUUGAAAUUAAAAUCAUCAAUUAAUGCUAGAAUAAAUACAUUUCAAUCAUUAAAACACUUUUACAAGAAGACCCGUGCUUAAAAGCAAAGGUACAAAAAGUAGAGUUUGAAAACCCUUUUUGAAAUCUUUUAGAAAGGACUCCCUGAAUGGAAGAGGGUUCAAGGAUGGAUACCAUACCUCAAAUUCAAGACAAACACACACGCGCGCACACACACACACACACACACACACAUAUAUAUAUAUAUAUAUUCAUAAAAGGAAUUGUAAUUGAACUAUAAAUUGUAAUCUUACUCAAUUUCAUAUUCCUAUAUAUGGUUUAUUGCCCAAACCAAAAAGGAAUUAUAAUUCAACCAGGAAUUGUAAUCCUACUAAAUUUCAUAUUCAUAUAUAUGUUUUAUUGUCCAAGCCAAAAAGAAAUUGUAAUUGAACUGGGAGAAGGAUUUUAUCCCACAACAUGACAUUUAUAAAUAGAUACAUUGUCUCCAUAAUUUUAUCUUCAAUUACAAACUCUGAGCCUACGAAGAAAAGGGCAUACUCAAGGUAAUUUUCCUCCUUUUUUUAUUUAUUUUCAUCACUUUUUUACAGAUUGACAUGUCUGUCGUAGAAAAUUUAUAUCUCAUUGUAGAAAAAUUGAAAUCAUGAACCAUUUGAUUUUUCAUAAACGACUUUUCGAUAUCUAACAUAUCCAAAAUUCAAAAUUUAAUACCUUCAGAAUCUUUCUAGAUGAUUUUUUGAAGUUAGCUCUAGAUUUUGUCAUGCUAAAAAUUUGUCACUUUUUUUUACAGCCUGACAUAUCCGUCAUAGAAAA
Molecule: long non-coding RNA, 3859 nt
Organism: Solanum lycopersicum (tomato)
Lineage: Eukaryota; Viridiplantae; Streptophyta; Magnoliopsida; Solanales; Solanaceae
Source: RefSeq, a predicted model, not a curated record